UGGAUCCAGACUUUGAUCAUGGCUCAGGAUGAACGCUAGCUACAGGCUUAACACAUGCAAGUCGAGGGGAAACGACAUCGAAAGCUUGCUUUUGAUGGGCGUCGACCGGCGCACGGGUGAGUAACGCGUAUCCAACCUGCCCACCACUUGGGGAUAACCUUGCGAAAGUAAGACUAAUACCCAAUGACGUCUCUAGAAGACAUCUGAAGGAGAUUAAAGAUUUAUCGGUGAUGGAUGGGGAUGCGUCUGAUUAGCUUGUUGGCGGGGUAACGGCCCACCAAGGCGACGAUCAGUAGGGGUUCUGAGAGGAAGGUCCCCCACAUUGGAACUGAGACACGGUCCAAACUCCUACGGGAGGCAGCAGUGAGGAAUAUUGGUCAAUGGACGAGAGUCUGAACCAGCCAAGUAGCGUGCAGGAUGACGGCCCUAUGGGUUGUAAACUGCUUUUAUAAGGGAAUAAAGUGAGUCUCGUGAGACUUUUUGCAUGUACCUUAUGAAUAAGGACCGGCUAAUUCCGUGCCAGCAGCCGCGGAAAUACGGAAGGUCCGGGCGUUAUCCGGAUUUAUUGGGUUUAAGGGGAGCGUAGGCCGGAGAUUAAGCGUGUUGUGAAAUGUAGACGCUCAACGUCUGCACUGCAGCGCGAACUGGUUUCCUUGAGUACGCACAAAGUGGGCGGAAUUCGUGGUGUAGCGGUGAAAUGCUUAGAUAUCACGAAGAACUCCGAUUGCGAAGGCAGCUCACUGGAGCGCAACUGACGCUGAAGCUCGAAAGUGCGGGUAUCGAACAGGAUUAGAUACCCUGGUAGUCCGCACGGUAAACGAUGGAUGCCCGCUGUUGGUCUGAAUAGGUCAGCGGCCAAGCGAAAGCAUUAAGCAUCCCACCUGGGGAGUACGCCGGCAACGGUGCAACUCAAAGGAAUUGACGGA
This 926-nucleotide ribosomal RNA is filed under the name uncultured bacterium. RNAcentral's name for it is "bacterial SSU rRNA". It matches the Rfam family "Bacterial small subunit ribosomal RNA", at positions 1 to 917 of the family's 1533-position model. The record is from RNAcentral. RNAcentral also lists the same sequence under 1 other name.